Molecule: ribosomal RNA, 472 nt
Filed under: uncultured bacterium
Lineage: Bacteria
Description: partial 16S ribosomal RNA
Rfam family: Bacterial small subunit ribosomal RNA
Source: RNAcentral
GACGAACGCUGGCGGCGUGCUUAACACAUGCAAGUCGAACGCUGAAGCUUGGUGCUUGCACUGGGUGGAUGAGUGGCGAACGGGUGAGUAAUACGUGAGUAACCUGCCCUUGACUCUGGGAUAAGCCUGGGAAACUGGGUCUAAUACUGGAUACGACAUGCCACUGCAUGGUGGUGUGUGGAAAGGGUUUUACUGGUUUUGGAUGGGCUCAUGGCCUAUCAGCUUGUUGGUGGGGUAAUGGCCUACCAAGGCGACGACGGGUAGCCGGCCUGAGAGGGUGACCGGCCACACUGGGACUGAGACACGGCCCAGACUCCUACGGGAGGCAGCAGUGGGGAAUAUUGCACAAUGGGCGGAAGCCUGAUGCAGCGACGCCGCGUGAGGGAUGACGGCCUUCGGGUUGUAAACCUCUUUCAGCACGGAAGAAGCGAGAGUGACGGUACGUGCAGAAGAAGCGCCGGCUAACUACGUG